AAAGCUGCUCUCAGAUAACCUGGGUACAGCCACAGCAGCGCUGCAUCCAUCAGGACACCUGCACACAUCCUGAUUCCUCUGCUCUGAACCCGUAAUGGAAACGUCCACCCCGCGCCAGGGGUGAGAGGGAAUAAUCACAAAGAGAGAACGUUCCGUGUGCCUGAGCAGCUGAUCUUUGAAGAGGAUGGCGAGGACGGCAGAGGAUGCCUGGGUCUCAGUGCCUUUUGCCUGGGAAUAAGCACCACGAAGCCAGAAAUCCAAGGGCUCCAGCAGGGAGAGCUCAGGGAAUUCCAUCCCUGCCUCGGCUGCCCGAGCACAGCGAAUCUCUCAUCUCCCCGUUCCUCCUAAAAUCCACAUUGCUGCGAACACGGAGCACUUGGGGCAGCUGAACCACCCAGAACAGAGGGAACUGCAGUCGAACCCAUGAAACAUCCAUUUUACAGGCGAUGGGCGCUGAUUCCCAGAGAAUUCAAGUACCUGGAGAAAGAGACAAAGAGUUCAGAGCUUCAGUCCUCUGACAGAAAUGUCGGAGUUUGUUCUAAAUUGCUCUUGAGUUUCCUGAAUGCUAAAGAAAGGAGGAGGAUUUAAAAAAAAAAAAAAAGGAAAAAAAAAAGAAAGAAAAAAAGGAAAACCAGAAAUAAUGAGGAGUUUUAUAUCCCAGGCUAAAUAAACAGGAUUAUUGACACUGCCUGCACUGAACAGGUUUCCUGCCUGGGGCAGGGCAGAAAAGGGAGGCGAAAAAAGCUUUCCUCCAGCUCAAGGAGUGGCAGAAAUCGGAGCAGAUUUUUGGUACAAUCUGGUUUUUCAGGCACUGCACAUCUCUGGAGCCCUGAGUCUGGCCCCGCGGCCGGGGAACCACAGAGCCAGAUUUCCGGAAUUACUGCAGAAACUGCACUUUUGAAAACUUCAUCCCUGCUGCGGGCAUGAUCAAGGGAUAAUUAGGAUUUACUGAAGCCUGCAACCUUUCUGCUCCGCUCCUUCUCUGCGCUUCAUGAAAGGGAGAAGAUGAGAGCCUGCACAGCUUGCGAGCCCUUUUCCUUUGUUUUUGUUAUCACCUUGAAGCACACACGGCCAUGACAGAGCUGGGGACGAGGAUUCACAAAUCACUGAUGGAUUUGGCUGGCAAGGCCCUGCAAAACCAUUCAUCAGCACUGCUGUCCCCUCACCCUUGGCCAGCUGCAGAGGCUCCCUCACCAAUCCCCAAAUCCAGGUGGAGAAGGCUGGGAUGACACUCCACAAACACCCCAGAACAAAUCCAAAUCCGUGAAGAGCCCAUAGCGAAGGACCAUUGGACAUGGACACCCACAGCGGGCAGUAAGGGAAAGUCGAGAAGCGUCUCUGCAAAUCUCACCGGGAGCCCAGUGAGCAAAGAUGCUGCCUUUGGACUCUGCUGUCCAGAACAUCCAACCAGGACUGCAGGAACAGCAGCCAGGACAGCUGGACACGGAUGGACCCACCACACUUGGGUCAAGGCCUCUAAAACCCUGGAGCUCUGGACUUUUCAGCUGGAAGGAAACAUGGGAGCCCUCAGCUCUCAGUAGCCACAGAUGAUGUACAAGGAGCUCCAGUGAUUGAUGGGCUAGCAUGAACUGGCAUUGUCUACCUUGUUCUCUGUAUUUCCUGUAUUCUCUGCUUCUCUGUGUUCCCUUGGCACCCCUGGGGCAGGGACCAGCUGUGGAACAGUGGGGAGGGGCUGCUUCAGGUGUUGCAGGUUGUUAAAAAGGGUGAAGUUAAUGAUAACUUGGGUUUGUAAAGACAGCUUGAGAACUGAGAAGAGGAGGGAUUGAGAGGAAAGAUGUGUGCUGAUGCCUUUACAAACAAUUCUGUGGAUGAAAGUGUGGGUGUGAACAUCUUUGGAAUGGUCUGACUGUCUCUACUGCCCCAUGGCCUCUCUCCCUUUAUUGGAAUAAAGUUGCAGGACUGCUCUGUCUCCUUUUUGGACAUAAA
Molecule: long non-coding RNA, 1947 nt
Organism: Corvus hawaiiensis (hawaiian crow)
Lineage: Eukaryota; Metazoa; Chordata; Aves; Passeriformes; Corvidae
Exons: 6
Source: RefSeq, a predicted model, not a curated record